GACGAACGCUGGCGGCGUGCUUAACACAUGCAAGUCGAACGGUGAAGCGCCUUCCUUUUUGGUGGGUGUGGAUGAGUGGCGAACGGGUGAGUAACACGUGAGUAACCUGCCCCCUUCUUCUGGAUAACCGCAUGAAAGUGUGGCUAAUACGGGAUAUUCUGGGUCUGUCGCAUGAUGGGUCUGGGAAAGAUAUGGUUUCGGGGGGGGAGGGGCUCGCGGCCUAUCAGCUUGUUGGUGGGGUGUUGGCCUACCAAGGCGGUGACGGGUAGCCGGCCUGAGAGGGUGGACGGUCACACUGGGACUGAGACACGGCCCAGACUCCUACGGGAGGCAGCAGUGGGGAAUAUUGCACAAUGGGCGCAAGCCUGAUGCAGCGACGCCGCGUGAGGGAUGGAGGCCUUCGGGUUGUGAACCUCUUUCGCCAGUGAAGCAGGCCUGCCUCGUUUGUGGGUGGGUUGACGGUAGCUGGAUAAGAAGCGCCGGCUAACUACGUG
Molecule: ribosomal RNA, 494 nt
Filed under: uncultured bacterium
Lineage: Bacteria
Description: partial 16S ribosomal RNA
Rfam family: Bacterial small subunit ribosomal RNA
Source: RNAcentral